AGUGAACGCUGGCGGUAGGCGUAACACAUGCAAGUCGAACGGCAGCACAGUAAGAGCUUGCUCUUACGGGUGGCGAGUGGCGGACGGGUGAGGAAUACAUCGGAAUCUACUUUUUCGUGGGGGAUAACGUAGGGAAACUUACGCUAAUACUGCAUACGACCUACGGGUGAAAGCAGGGGAUCUUCGGACCUUGCGCGAUUGAAUGAGCCGAUGUCGGAUUAGCUAGUUGGCGGGGUAAAGGCCCACCAAGGCGACGAUCCGUAGCUGGUCUGAGAGGAUGAUCAGCCACACUGGAACUGAGACACGGUCCAGACUCCUACGGGAGGCAGCAGUGGGGAAUAUUGGACAAUGGGCGCAAGCCUGAUCCAGCCAUACCGCGUGGGUGAAGAAGGCCUUCGGGUUGUAAAGCCCUUUUGUUGGGAAAGAAAAGCAGCAGGUUAAUACCCCGCUGUUCUGACGGUACCCAAAGAAUAAGCACCGGCUAACUUCGUG
RNAcentral lists this ribosomal RNA (492 nucleotides) under uncultured bacterium. RNAcentral describes it as "partial 16S ribosomal RNA". It matches the Rfam family "Bacterial small subunit ribosomal RNA", at positions 29 to 507 of the family's 1533-position model. The record is from RNAcentral.